CGUCCCUUGACGCCACACGCCACGCUUCUGAGAGGCCGCCGACUGGAGGAAGUGGGAUCACUUUGGCCCCUUGCUGAAGUGGAGUUAAAAGCUUCAAGAAGUAAGGAUGUAGGGAUCAUCUUGCAAAGGAUUCAAAGAAAAUACUUCUGUGGGCCUUAGUGUAAUAUAUUCCCUAAAAGUUUAAAACAGAUGGGUGCUACUGAAAUGGGUACACAUCAAGUUGUUAUAAGAAGGCUACUGCUUUGUGUUGUAGUGACUGUGACAAGUACUACAUUGGUCCAACAGAAAGAAAACUACCGACGCGGCAUCAUGAGCAUCAGCUCGUGAGCAGAAGGCACGAGCCACUCUCACUAGUAUCAUCAGUUCAACUAGAUAACAGCCAGAGUCUUGUCUCAAGCAAGAACAAGAAAAGGACGAGAAUUUCUCAAAGCGUGGUUCCACCUACAAAGGCAUCAACAUAGGUCCAGUAUAUGAACCCUUAAGGAGAAGCAACAAUGUCAACAAUCAAAGAAUCGCUAACGGACCUCCCUUGAAGCUAGCCAGUCAGAAUCUCCUACUACUAAACUGUUCAGUGUUUUGAAUUAGCUAACCAGAUCAUGCCAUCUAAUCAAUAUCCACUCAGACCCCAGAGGAGUAUAUAAGCUGGAAUUCUAAAGAAACAACAUCUUCAACUGCGCACUGAUGAUGGCUUCUCAAUUGGAGCCAAAACUUCUGCAAACAUUUUGUCAAGCUCGGCAUCAACCAAACUUCCAAAUCUGCCUAUAAUUCUUAAAUAGCUACUUUAGAUUAAAUUACUGUUUAUUGCUGAUAAAGGAUGCCAUAUUAUAAAAAAGCUUCAUGAGAAUUGUUUUGGGUUGAUUGAUUUAUUUUGUAUUGUGACAGAAAAAUAAUCUUCAUCUACUUGAAAUAGUUCCUUUUGAGAUAGGACAGUCCUUUUUUUCCUUUUUCACAUGUUAUU
Long non-coding RNA from Hypanus sabinus (Atlantic stingray), 958 nucleotides. RefSeq lists it as uncharacterized. NCBI's taxonomy places the organism in Eukaryota, Metazoa, Chordata, Chondrichthyes, Myliobatiformes, Dasyatidae. The record is from RefSeq and is a predicted model, not a curated record. The transcript has 4 exons.